This 2012-nucleotide ribosomal RNA is filed under the name metagenome. Its description in RNAcentral is "bacterial LSU rRNA". It matches the Rfam family "Bacterial large subunit ribosomal RNA", at positions 1 to 2039 of the family's 2925-position model. The record is from RNAcentral.
UAAAGCAAGAAAGGGCGUAUGGGGAAUGCCUAGGCACACUCCGGCGAAGAAGGACGCAGCAAACAGCGAAAUGCGACGGUGAGCGGUAAGCACGUGAAGAGCCGUCGAUAUCCGAAUGGGGGAACCCACACGGAGUCAUAUCCGUGUAUCACAUGUCGAAUACAUAGACAUGAUGAGGCGAGACGCAGGGAACUGAAACAUCUAAGUACCUGCAGGAAGAGAAAAUAAGAAUGAUUUUCUGAGUAGCGGCGAGCGAAAGGGAAAGAGCCCAAACCGAUCUUAGGAUCGGGGUAGUAGGAUCAUCGAUAAAUCUGACAGAGGAUCAUAGAGGAAUCACAUGGGAAGGUGAGCGAGAGAGGGUGAGAGCCCCGUACUCGAAAUGAGAGACUGGAGAGAGAUGACACCUGAGUAGGGCGGGACACGAGAAAUCCUGUCUGAAUCAGCCGGGACCAUCCGGCAAGGCUAAAUACGAGAGAGUGACCGAUAGUGAACCAGUACCGUGAGGGAAAGGUGAAAAGAACCCCGGGAGGGGAGUGAAAGAGAACCUGAAACCAUAUGCCUACAAGAAGUCAGAGCCCGUUAAAGGGUGAUGGCGUGCCUUUUGUAGAAUGAACCGGCGAGUUACUGUAUGGAGCGAGGUUAAGCAGGAUAUGCGGAGCCGAAGCGAAAGCGAGUCUUAAGAGGGCGAGAGUUGCAUGCAGUAGACCCGAAACCGGGUGAUCUAGCCAUGACCAGGUUGAAGUUGGGGUAAAACCCGAUGGAGGACCGAACCGACCCCCGUUGAAACGUUGGCGGAUGAGUUGUGGCUAGGGGUGAAAUUCCAAUCGAACCCGGAGAUAGCUGGUUCUCCCCGAAAUAGCUUUAGGGCUAGCGUCGAGGUAAGUUGCGUGAAGGUAGAGCACUGAAUAUGUGAUGGCCCCAUCUCGGGGUACUGAGCAUAAUCAAACUGCGAAUGUCACGCCAACAUGCUCGGCAGUCAGACAGCGGGUGAUAAGGUCCGUUGUCAAGAGGGAAACAGCCCAGACCAUCAGCUAAGGUCCCAAAAUGUAUGCUAAGUGGAAAAGGAUGUGGAGAUGUACAGACAACUAGGAGGUUGGCUCAGAAGCAGCCAUCCUUUAAAGAGUGCGUAACAGCUCACUAGUCGAAUGACUCUGCGCCGAUAAUUUACCGGGGCUAAGCAUACUACCGAAGCUAUGGAUCCCAAGGGAUGGUAGGGGAGCGUUCCAUGAACGGAGAAGUACGACCGAAAGGACGUGUGGAGAUCAUGGAAGAGAGAAUGCCGGUGUGAGUAGCGGAACGUGGGUGAGAAUCCCACGCACCGAAAACCCAAGGUUUCCAGAGGAAGGUUCGUCCGCUCUGGGUAAGUCGGGACCUAAGGCGAGGCCGAAAGGCGUAGUCGAUGGACAACAGGUAGAGAUUCCUGUACCCGUAUAUAUGUGAAGGAAUGACGGAGAGAGGAAGCUGCAGCCAGCGGCUGGAAGAGCUGGUGCAAGCGAGAUAUCGGGAUGGCAGGCAAAUCCACCAUCCGAAACGAGAAGGCGUGAAGCGUACGGAAAGCUACGGCGAGUACGGAAGGCAGUGGAGGAACUUCCAAGAAAAGUUUCUAACGUUAAGUAUAUAUGGCCCGUACCGAAAAUGGACACACAUGGGUGAGGAGAGAAUCCUAAGGUGAGCGAGAGAACUAUAGCUAAGGAACUCUGCAAAAUGACUCCGUAACUUAGGGAGAAGGAGUGCUCAUAGAGAUAUGAGCCGCAGUGAAACGGCCCAAGCGACUGUUUACCAAAAACACAGCUCUCUGCUAAGCCGCAAGGCGAAGUAUAGGGGGUGACGCCUGCCCGGUGCUGGAAGGUUAAGGGGAGGGGUUAACGCAAGUGAAGCCCUGAACUGAAGCCCCAGUAAACGGCGGCCGUAACUAUAACGGUCCUAAGGUAGCGAAAUUCCUUGUCAGGUAAGUUCUGACCCGCACGAAAGGCGUAACGAUUUGGGCGCUGUCUCAGCUGUAGACUCGGUGA